Molecule: ribosomal RNA, 428 nt
Filed under: uncultured bacterium
Lineage: Bacteria
Description: bacterial SSU rRNA
Rfam family: Bacterial small subunit ribosomal RNA
Source: RNAcentral
AACGAACGCUGGCGGCAUGCCUAACACAUGCAAGUCGAACGGGAUCCUGGUUUCGGCCAGGUGAGAGUGGCGGACGGGUGAGUAACGCGUGGGAAUCUGCCCAUGUAGUGGGGAAUAACCAGCCGAAAGGUUGGCUAAUACCGCAUACGACCCUUGCCCACAAGGCAAAGGUGAAAGCAGGGGAUCGCAAGACCUUGCGCUAUUGGAUGAGCCGAAGUCGGAUUAGCAGUUGGUAGGGUAACGGCCUACCAAGGCGACGAUCCGUAGCUGGUCUGAGAGGACGACCAGCCACACUGGGACUGAGACACGGCCCAGACUCCUACGGGAGGCAGCAGUGGGGAAUAUUGGACAAUGGGGGCAACCCUGAUCCAGCGACGCCGCGUGUGUGAAGAAGGCCUGCGGGUUGUAAAGCACUUUUAGUGGGGAUG